UACGAAGGGGGCUAGCGUUGCUCGGAAUUACUGGGCGUAAAGCGCACGUAGGCGGCUUUCUAAGUCGGGGGUGAAAUCCUGGAGCUCAACUCCAGAACUGCCUUCGAUACUGGAAAGCUCGAGUCCGGGAGAGGUGAGUGGAACUGCGAGUGUAGAGGUGAAAUUCGUAGAUAUUAGGAAGAACACCAGUGGCGAAGGCGGCUCACUGGUCCGGUACUGACGCUGAGGUGCGAAAGCGUGGGGAGCAAACAGG
Molecule: ribosomal RNA, 253 nt
Filed under: uncultured bacterium
Lineage: Bacteria
Description: partial 16S ribosomal RNA
Rfam family: Bacterial small subunit ribosomal RNA
Source: RNAcentral